Molecule: long non-coding RNA, 2435 nt
Organism: Papaver somniferum (opium poppy)
Lineage: Eukaryota; Viridiplantae; Streptophyta; Magnoliopsida; Ranunculales; Papaveraceae
Exons: 9
Source: RefSeq, a predicted model, not a curated record
UCUUUUUUCCUCUCCUCCGAAAAACACCGUCGGUGCUCCAUCACCACCGCUGCUCUUCUCUCGGUCCCUCUUCUUCAUCUCCAUUUCUUAAUUGUAUGGACCCAUAUUAGAUCUCAUCUGCAAUUUUUGGUGAAAAUUAUCACAACCUCAGUCACAAAAACUCAUCAAUCGAAUACCUCAGAUCCACCUUCUACAAACCCUAAAUCAAACGAAACCCAACUUCAAUUUGUAAUGUGCUACCGAUUUCUUCUUUCACUGAUUUAAUCUCAGAACCCGUUUCAAUUCUUCAUUCAACAUCUAACCUAGCCAUAAGAAUCAUACCUCUCCAUCUCUGAACAUCGAACCAACAACAUAAAAUUCAUUAUCUCCUCCAUCUGUGAUCAAAGUUGCUACUGCUAGAAAUCAAGAUGGUACAGUUAGGGUUUGAACUGAGGUCGAUUAUUGAUUAGUGUUCAUCUUUGAAUGAGGAGUUUACAGAUUCUUCAAGUUGCAAUUUUCUGCGACCUCCAAUUACCAGUGAACUAGAAGAAACCACUCUCACAGAAGAAGCUUAACGUUCUCUCUAAUAUCACAACUCUCUUCGUCAUACACCACCAAGUAUUUUGGUUGUGAGCUUGGAGCACAGUCCAAAUUUGAUGAAAAAAAUGGAGUUGCUCUUGUGAAUGGUGCCCAUGACACUUCCAAGCUUGCUGGUUUGCUUGAGACCUUCAUUUAGAAGUUUGUCCAGUGCUAUCGAUGUGGGAACCCUGAAACUGAUGUUAUCAUCACCAAAACUCAGAUGUUGACAUGAGGGACAAGCUCACUACUUUCAUUAUCAAGAAUCCGCCUGAGCAUAAGAAAUGUUGGGAAGAGUACAUUUUCGGACCAGAUUGUUGGUCAAAACCUCUCAAUUGUAACAGAUAUACCUCCAACUACUAGACAUUGGAUACUUGGUAUAGUUUUUAGCGAAGAAUAUCAGGAUAUGGUGACUCACUGGUGUUAUUGGUAAGAAAAUGCUUGAGGGAAAAAUGUUCGCAGCUCUGCUGUUCGCACCAGUUGAUUGAUGAGGUUUUGGAGGAAGCUAACCUUAAAUACAAAGUGAAAUGUUUGGUUAGGCAUGAAGAGGUUGCAAAGAGACUAGAGGAAAAGCUACAAGAUUGUCGUAUUUUGAAUGAAUCAUCGACAAUCAUUUUCGUCAAAGAGAUGAAUGCAGGAAAUUGAGUUGUUGGUCUUUAUUCAUGUCUGUUUUCUUCGUCGGCCCCCCACUGGUGCAACAGUCAUCUAAUAUAAGAAGACCUUACAUAUUUAUAAUUAAAGAUGGACAAACCUGAGCUGCCAAUAUCGAUUUUGAUUCUUGACCUAUAUGAAUAUGGGCUAGUCGAAGUUGUUCUUGGCCUUUUAAAAUUUCUUCUUGUAGGCGAAGACUUAAAUCAGGUAGCUUUUGCAAAGAGCACGGCAAAUGUGAUGGGUAUAGUUCUUCCAAUUGAGCAAGUAACAAAUGUGCUGGGUAUAGUUCUUCCAAUUGAACAAGUAAACAGACCUCCAACUACAUACUCCAAUCUGAUGGGCAGCUGGUGACCAGGUAUCCUCUUGGUCCUGGUAUAGAUGUGGGACUUACUGAUGCAUCACCAAGUACUUCAUUGACCAAUGUGGCUAACAGUGUAGAAAUUGAUCAGCAUUCUGUUUUCUGUCCAGCUGACAUUCUGUUGAUGACAACACAAAGUAUCUGUUCAUGAGGUAGAAACACUUGUCCACGCCGGUGGAGAAUCUUGGAACUGGAAGUGCCCUACUGUUAGCUUGCCGAACCACUGAGAGGAGAAGGCUGCAACAUUUGCACCUGGAAAAUCCCCUUCCACACUGAGUGUGAGUAUGGAAAAAUGCUCAUGAACAGGCGGGUGCAAAAGUAUCAUCAGAAUCUUUUCCAACAUGAAUCGGCUGCUGCAGUAGAACGAACUUAAUGGUGAAGGCAGUUGCAGAAGGAAAAUGCCUCUUAGCUACACUGUAGGAAGCUUAUAGAAAGCUUCAUUUGUUGAUUUGGAGAUCUCUCAUUGCCGCACUUGAGCAUUUGUGUGGACACAUGCAGCUUCUGAGUUGUUUCCUGAGUUGGACUAGGUUUGAAUGCUUCGCCUCCCUUCCUAAACCCUGCAAAACACAUGCAUACCGAAGGAACAAAUGGGAUAUGAAUGGUCAGAGCUUAGUGAGUUCAAACCCAGGUCCUGACUUUCAGCUGCUACCAAUCCCUCAAUAACAGCCUAUGUCCUGUGUGUCCUUGAUGUCUUGGUUUUUGGUCAGUUUUUCUUUUUAAUGUAAAUGUACAAUGAUUAUGGAUGCUAUUACACAAAUACGCUCCAAGUUUGUUGCUGUCUAGUUGGUUAACCAGAAGAGGCGGAUGGAUUUUGUAGUCUACUUUGUUGCAUUAUUUUUAGAAUAAAAUCCAUAUUUGUUUUUGCAUUGUA